GUUCUGGACAAAAUGCUCAGAAAUCUACAGGGAGAGAUGGAAAAGACCUUUUGCAAAGAGGCAGUGUGAAGAGCUUUGCAUAGAGAUAAUUUUUAACAAAGUAAAAAGAUGGACUUAUUUCAAAGACUUGCAAAUUAAUACUGGUUGUCUCCUGUCCCAAGUGCUAUACAAACAUAGAGAAAGAAAUGGUCCCCUCCCUGAAGGUCUUCCCUGAUGAUCUGAAACAAGAAGGAGCUGAUGGAGAUGUACUAAAAUAGGCCUUGCAGGAUCUCUAAUCCAUGCCAGCUGCAUCUACCUUUUGAAUUCCUGUUC
This 312-nucleotide long non-coding RNA is filed under the name Taeniopygia guttata (zebra finch). Its description in RNAcentral is "lncRNA (ENSTGUG00000020409.1)". Lineage: Eukaryota; Metazoa; Chordata; Aves; Passeriformes; Estrildidae. The record is from RNAcentral.